UAACUACUCUAAGUUCAUCUUUAUAUAAGAACAAGUUUAGCAAAUCUUAUAUAAAAUUUUUAUUGUUCAUACAGAUCAACAUAUUUAUUAUUUCAAUUAUAUAUACACUUUAAUUGAUCAUGUUGAUCUAAAGGAUUAUCAAAUUUUUCUUAUAUAAGAACAAGCUUUUAAUGACCACUACAAACAGUGCAUUUUUGGUUCUGGAAGACCAAUGGACAAUUCAGUCUCCACCUCUGAAUUCUUCCCAUUUAAGCUUAAGUAUGUCACAGCUUCUUUCUGUUGAGUUGGAUGCGGCCAUGGCUUCUCACCACACUAUACACAUCAUGAUGCCAAAUUAAUAUCAACAAACUGUAUCCAAUUGGACACUUCGAUGGAGGAUAAAUAAAAGAUUCUUUUCCGAAUAAUAAGGCCUAAAUCAAUGCUCAUAGGGUUAGGGUUUUCCACAACUAUAAAUUAAGCUAAAUUUUAAAAACAAGCAUAAAUGUGCACCUUUACACGCAAACUUGCAUUCUCUUCCAGCAAGAGCCUUUCCUGCGCUUUUAGUUGCUCUAUCUUCUCCUUGAACAACUCAGCCUGUAUCAUAAGCCAUUUUAAGUAUUAUAUUGGCUUUGAAUCAGUUAAUUUAACAUGCAUCAGCCAAGCCAGAAGAAGAAGAUUCAGAUACCUUCCUUUCUUUGAUAUUGCUUAAGCCUUUCUCUAGCUGGUUGUGUAUCUCUUGGAGCUCUUCCACAGAACAAGAAGUCAAACCUUGUCCCAAAAACUUCCUAAUUAAUACACGCCAUUUUCAAAUUUUAGUUCCUAAGGUCUAUCAUUCAGGCCAGGUCAAGUGUUAUUCUACAAGCUCAAGACUGAGAGGAUUAAGUCUCAAACCAAAAUACACACCCCUGCGAAAUUUUGAGUUGCUCGAUCUUCUUCACCAUCUCUGUGGAUUCGCUAAUUUGUUGCUGAAUGCGUUGUUCUGUAUCAACGCUGUCAGCUUGCACCUUAUCUUUUGCAUUUCUACGGUACCGUUCUAUGGUCUUUUCCAUGCUGAAGCAUCGAACCACAAGAUGUAAUCGUUACGUAGUAAAAGAACAAGAAAAAGACAACAGAAGAUAACCACAGCGCAAAAUAGCUUUUGUAUCAUUAUAAACAUUAAGGCUUAGGUUUCCUUUCUCAAAUACGAGCGAGAGCCAGUGAAAGUGUUUCUGCGAUAUUCAUAAUUAGCAUUUCAAUCUUUGCAUAAAAGAACUAUCUAGACUUGUCAGUAUAGAUAUCUAACAUGAAAACAAAUUAUGUACAAACCCAAUUAUUCUAACUCAUCUCAACUCAAUUCAACUAAGCCUUCAACCCAAAAAUUUAUUAGGGUCGGCU
Molecule: unclassified non-coding RNA, 1353 nt
Filed under: Hevea brasiliensis (rubber tree)
Lineage: Eukaryota; Viridiplantae; Streptophyta; Magnoliopsida; Malpighiales; Euphorbiaceae
Source: RNAcentral